Perognathus longimembris pacificus (Pacific pocket mouse) is the source of this 266-nucleotide long non-coding RNA. RefSeq lists it as uncharacterized. The transcript is spliced from 3 exons. NCBI's taxonomy places the organism in Eukaryota, Metazoa, Chordata, Mammalia, Rodentia, Heteromyidae. The record is from RefSeq and is a predicted model, not a curated record.
CUAAAACUCAAAUUUAAUCUUAUUUGUCCAACCUUACUUUGAUUUGUAGCAUUUCUGGGUCUUUGUUAAGGAAGUUCUGUCCUGUGCCAAUGAGCCCAAGUGUUUCUCCUAUUCCUUACUUUAGUGUUCUCAGAGUGUCUGAUUUGAUUUUGAGGUCUUUGAUCCAUUUGGAAUUGAUUUUGGUGCAGGGUGAUAUAUAAGGAUCUAGUUAUAGUUUGUUGCAUGUGUUGAACCAGUUUUGCCGGCACCAUUUGUUAAAGAGGCUA